Phyllostomus hastatus (greater spear-nosed bat) is the source of this 454-nucleotide long non-coding RNA. RefSeq lists it as uncharacterized. Lineage: Eukaryota; Metazoa; Chordata; Mammalia; Chiroptera; Phyllostomidae. The transcript has 3 exons. The record is from RefSeq and is a predicted model, not a curated record.
CUCAAUACCAGCGCUCACCGUUUUUUUCCUCCUGAGGCAGCUCUGUAAGAGACGUUCCCCUCUGUCUAUAAGCAAGGAGUAGAAUGAUCUCCAAGAAGUGAGCCCGCCGUGCAGAAAGUGCUGGAACUGACAAAACGGAAUCCCCUGCCUUCAUGGAGCUGGCCAUGAAUGGUCUGGAAUCAAUAGACCAAUAUCAUCUAGUGUCGAUUGUGCACAUAUUAGAGCCCCCCAGCUCAGCAAACCCAUUCCGGCCUCAGGCUGGCUGCCUUGAGGACGCCUAACAGCGCCCCCAGAACAUCCUGAUGGGACAGACACUGGAAUCUGAUGUGACUUUGAAGGCAGAUGAAAGAGCUCAUUCCUGUCUGCUCCCCCACUCUGUAAACAGCUGGGCAGGGCCUCUACUCUCUUUUCCCCCAAGCUGUAUCCCCAGCAUCCAGAGAAACCUGGCACCUGG